This 435-nucleotide ribosomal RNA is filed under the name uncultured bacterium. Its description in RNAcentral is "partial 16S ribosomal RNA". It matches the Rfam family "Bacterial small subunit ribosomal RNA", at positions 29 to 507 of the family's 1533-position model. The record is from RNAcentral.
AGCGAACGCUGGCGGCAGGCUUAACACAUGCAAGUCGAGCGGGCACUUUCGGGUGUCAGCGGCGGACGGGUGAGUAACGCGUGGGAACGUGCCCUCUGGUUCGGAAUAACUCAGGGAAACUUGAGCUAAUACCGGAUACGCCCUUUUGGGGAAAGGCUUGCUGCCGGAGGAUCGGCCCGCGUCUGAUUAGCUAGUUGGUGAGGUAACGGCUCACCAAGGCGACGAGCAGUAGCUGGUCUGAGAGGAUGAUCAGCCACACUGGGACUGAGACACGGCCCAGACUCCUACGGGAGGCAGCAGUGGGGAAUAUUGGACAAUGGGCGCAAGCCUGAUCCAGCCAUGCCGCGUGAGUGAUGAAGGCCUUAGGGUUGUAAAGCUCUUUUAUCCGGGACGAUAAUGACGGUACCGGAGGAAUAAGCCCCGGCUAACUUCGUG